This 338-nucleotide ribosomal RNA is filed under the name uncultured bacterium. Its description in RNAcentral is "bacterial SSU rRNA". It matches the Rfam family "Bacterial small subunit ribosomal RNA", at positions 28 to 349 of the family's 1533-position model. The record is from RNAcentral.
GAUGAACGCUGGCGGCGUGCCUAACACAUGCAAGUCGAACGAAGCACAUUGGAUUGAUUCUUCGGAAGAAAGAGAAUGUGACUGAGUGGCGGACGGGUGAGUAACGCGUGGGUAACCUGCCUCAUACAGGGGGAUAACAGUUAGAAAUGACUGCUAAUACCGCAUAAGACCACGGAGUUGCAUGACUCAGUGGGAAAAACUCCGGUGUAUGAGAUGGACCCGCGUCUGAUUAGGUAGUUGGUGGGGUAACGCCUACCAAGCCGACGAUCAGUAGCCGACCUGAGAGGGUGACCGGCCACAUUGGGACUGAGACACGGGCCCAAACUCCUACGGGAGGC